Molecule: ribosomal RNA, 444 nt
Filed under: Langelurillus sp. MRB261
Lineage: Eukaryota; Metazoa; Arthropoda; Arachnida; Araneae; Salticidae
Description: eukaryotic LSU rRNA
Rfam family: Eukaryotic large subunit ribosomal RNA
Source: RNAcentral
UUUUCGGUUGUUAGCCUUCCGGGCAGUGGCUCGUCGCCAGACCGAGGUGUCGCUAGUCCCGCCUGGGACUCUCCGUCUCCACCCCCGAGUCGCGGGACAGGACGUGGCAAGGGAAACGCGUGUUCUGCGUCGCACUCGAUAGAGUGGGCGCGGGAGCGCGGAGCCCCGUUGGCUGCGACGGACCCGCGGGAGACCGGAGGCUUGCGGCGAGUAGGUCGGUCACCCACCCGACCCGUCUUGAAACACGGACCAAGGAGUCUAACAUGUGCGCGAGUCAAUGGGUCUUGACUAGGCCCAGGGGCGCAAUGAAAGCGAAGGACCGCCUAGCGUGGUCUCAGUGGGGAUCCUCGUCCCUCGGGGCGGGGCGCACCCACGACCCGUCCUAUCCGACUCGUCGGUUGGGCGGAGUCUGAGCGUACACGUUGGGACCCGAAAGAUGGUGAA